GAGACAGUUCGGUCCCUAUCUGCUAUGCGUGUAGAAGAAUUGAGAGGAGUUGACCCUAGUACGAGAGGACCGGGUUGAACAUACCACUGGUGGACCGGUUGUAGCGCCAGCUGCAGUGCCGGGUAGCUAAGUAUGGACGAGAUAACUGCUGAAAGCAUCUAAGCGGGAAACUCACCUCAAAACUAGUUCUUCCUAUAGAGCCGUGGUAGACCACCACGUUGAUAGGCUGGAUGUGGAAGCGCAGUAAUGCGUGCAGCUGACCAGUACUAAUAGCUCAAUUGGCUUGAUUUAUG
Molecule: ribosomal RNA, 293 nt
Filed under: Pelagibacterales bacterium SAG-MED07
Lineage: Bacteria; Pseudomonadati; Pseudomonadota; Alphaproteobacteria; Candidatus Pelagibacterales
Description: partial 23S ribosomal RNA
Rfam family: Bacterial large subunit ribosomal RNA
Source: RNAcentral